This 658-nucleotide ribosomal RNA is filed under the name Streptomyces sp. RNAcentral's name for it is "bacterial SSU rRNA". It matches the Rfam family "Bacterial small subunit ribosomal RNA", at positions 115 to 787 of the family's 1533-position model. Lineage: Bacteria; Bacillati; Actinomycetota; Actinomycetes; Kitasatosporales; Streptomycetaceae. The record is from RNAcentral.
ACGUGGGCAAUCUGCCCUUCACUCUGGGACAAGCCCUGGAAACGGGGUCUAAUACCGGAUAACACCGGCCUCCGCAUGGAGGCUGGUUGAAAGCUCCGGCGGUGAAGGAUGAGCCCGCGGCCUAUCAGCUUGUUGGUGGGGUAAUGGCCCACCAAGGCGACGACGGGUAGCCGGCCUGAGAGGGCGACCGGCCACACUGGGACUGAGACACGGCCCAGACUCCUACGGGAGGCAGCAGUGGGGAAUAUUGCACAAUGGGCGAAAGCCUGAUGCAGCGACGCCGCGUGAGGGAUGACGGCCUUCGGGUUGUAAACCUCUUUCAGCAGGGAAGAAGCGAAAGUGACGGUACCUGCAGAAGAAGCGCCGGCUAACUACGUGCCAGCAGCCGCGGUAAUACGUAGGGCGCAAGCGUUGUCCGGAAUUAUUGGGCGUAAAGAGCUCGUAGGCGGCUUGUCACGUCGGGUGUGAAAGCCCGGGGCUUAACCCCGGGUCUGCAUCCGAUACGGGCAGGCUAGAGUGUGGUAGGGGAGAUCGGAAUUCCUGGUGUAGCGGUGAAAUGCGCAGAUAUCAGGAGGAACACCGGUGGCGAAGGCGGAUCUCUGGGCCAUUACUGACGCUGAGGAGCGAAAGCGUGGGGAGCGAACAGGAUUAGAUACCC